UGCAGUCGAGCGGACCGACGGGAGCUUGCUCCCUUAGGUCAGCGGCGGACGGGUGAGUAACACGUGGGUAACCUGCCUGUAAGACUGGGAUAACUCCGGGAAACCGGGGCUAAUACCGGAUGCUUGAUUGAACCGCAUGGUUCAAUCAUAAAAGGUGGCUUUUAGCUACCACUUACAGAUGGACCCGCGGCGCAUUAGCUAGUUGGUGAGGUAACGGCUCACCAAGGCGACGAUGCGUAGCCGACCUGAGAGGGUGAUCGGCCACACUGGGACUGAGACACGGCCCAGACUCCUACGGGAGGCAGCAGUAGGGAAUCUUCCGCAAUGGACGAAAGUCUGACGGAACAACGCCGCGUGAGUGAUGAAGGUUUUCGGAUCGUAAAACUCUGUUGUUAGGGAAGAACAAGUACCGUUCGAAUAGGGCGGCACCUUGACGGUACCUAACCAGAAAGCCACGGCUAACUACGUGCCAGCAGCCGCGGUAAUACGUAGGUGGCAAGCGUUGUCCGGAAUUAUUGGGCGUAAAGCGCGCGCAGGCGGUUUCUUAAGUCUGAUGUGAAAGCCCCCGGCUCAACCGGGGAGGGCAUUGGAAACUGGGGAACUUGAGUGAGAAGAAGAGAUGGAAUUCCCGUGUAGCGGUGAAAUGCGUAGAGAUGUGGAGGAACACCAGUGGCGAAGGGACUCUCUGGUCUGUACUGACGCUGAAGCGCGAAAGCGUGGGGAGCGAACAGGAUUAGAUACCCUGGUAGUCCACGCCGUAAACGAUGAGUGCUAAGUGUUAGAGGGUUUCCGCCCUUUAGUGCUGCAGCAAACGCAUUAAGCACUCCGCCUGGGGAGUACGGUCGCCAGACUGAAACUCUAAGGAAUUUUGACGGGGCCGCACAAGCGG
RNAcentral lists this ribosomal RNA (889 nucleotides) under bacterium. RNAcentral describes it as "bacterial SSU rRNA". It matches the Rfam family "Bacterial small subunit ribosomal RNA", at positions 56 to 932 of the family's 1533-position model. The record is from RNAcentral.